UACAUAGGGGGCAAGCGUUGUCCGGAUUUACUGGGCGUAAAGAGCUCGUAGGCGGUUUACCAAGUCAGAAGUGAAAUCUCCACGCUUAACGUGGAGCGGCCUUUUGAAACUGGUAUGACUUGAGUACGGUAGAGGAGUGUGGAAUUCCCGGUGUAGCGGUGAAAUGCGCAGAUAUCGGGAGGAACACCUAUGGCGAAGGCAGCACUCUGGGCCGAAACUGACGCUGAGGAGCGAAAGCGUGGGGAGCGAACAGG
Molecule: ribosomal RNA, 254 nt
Filed under: uncultured bacterium
Lineage: Bacteria
Description: partial 16S ribosomal RNA
Rfam family: Bacterial small subunit ribosomal RNA
Source: RNAcentral